ACAUGUGGGUGCUCUGUCAGGAG
This 23-nucleotide non-coding RNA is filed under the name Cricetulus griseus (Chinese hamster). Lineage: Eukaryota; Metazoa; Chordata; Mammalia; Rodentia; Cricetidae. The record is from RNAcentral.